Long non-coding RNA from Panicum virgatum (switchgrass), 862 nucleotides. RefSeq lists it as uncharacterized. The record is from RefSeq and is a predicted model, not a curated record. NCBI's taxonomy places the organism in Eukaryota, Viridiplantae, Streptophyta, Magnoliopsida, Poales, Poaceae. The transcript has 2 exons.
CCAGCCUACCCAUCCCGCUGCACAUGCUACAGUGAAAAGAACGUUCACGUCAGCCUCCCACCGCAUGCUGGUGAGUUCAGUCUAAUUCUCUCCCACACUUAGUCUCUAAGCAAGGUGGUUAGGAUGAUAAAGCUUGCUUAAAAAAUUCUGGCAAUUUUCUCCGAUAGAAGGGAAGAACGUUUUGUGGUGGUUAACACCCCACAAGAAUGCUAACGUGGACGACUAACCCUCUAUUUCUUACCCUCCUGCUGUUGUCCUGUUAUUUCUUUCCUUCGGGUAUUUUUUGUUGUUUCUCGGUGCAGCUACUUUGCAGGAUGAACAUCCUCCAGAAGGCCGUCAGCAUAUUCAGGGAGCUCUUACUGCAGGCGUGAUUUCUUAAUUUCUUCUCCUUUGGGAUCUGCUUGCAGAGGGGAGAGUUACCUUCGGCCCAUGGGAAAGGAUUUGGAAAAUUUGGGCGCCCGAAAAAUGCUGUUUCUUCAUGUGGUUGGUUAUGAGAGAUAGAUGCUGGACUGCUGAUCGCCUUGCCAAACGUGGACUCCCACACCCGACAAGAUGCUCCCUUUGUGAUCAGGUUGAGGAAAACAUCAAUCACUUGCUGUCCUGCGUCUUUGCCCGCGAGUUUUGGUUCAAGCUCUGCUAAUGGCUGGUCUGCAGAACUUCAGCCCGCAAGUUAGGUGAAGACAACUUCAAUCUCUGGUGGGAAAGAGUCUCCUGUUCGGCAACAGCCCAGAUGCGGAAAGGCCUUAAUUCUCUCGUAAUUCUGGAGGCAUGGUCCCUUUGGAAACAUAGAAAUAGGAGUAAAUUUUCUGUAUGCCAUUGAAAAAUAUAACCCAUCCCUUCUAUGCCAUUGAAAAUUACCUCA